RNAcentral lists this ribosomal RNA (253 nucleotides) under uncultured bacterium. RNAcentral's name for it is "partial 16S ribosomal RNA". It matches the Rfam family "Bacterial small subunit ribosomal RNA", at positions 524 to 776 of the family's 1533-position model. The record is from RNAcentral.
CACGGGGGGAGCAAGCGUUGUUCGGAAUCACUGGGCGUAAAGGGCGUGCAGGCGGUCAGGUAAGUGGGAUGUGAAAUGCCCCGGCUCACCCGGGGACCGGCAUCUCAUACUGCUUGGCUUGAGUACGGGAGAGGAUGUGGGAAUUCCUGGUGUAGCGGUGAAAUGCGUAGAUAUCAGGAGGAACACCGGUGGCGAAGGCGGGUCUCUGGGCCGAUACUGACGCUGAGGAGCGAAAGCGUGGGGAGCGAACAGG